This is a long non-coding RNA of Pseudopipra pipra, 3516 nucleotides long. RefSeq lists it as uncharacterized. Lineage: Eukaryota; Metazoa; Chordata; Aves; Passeriformes; Pipridae. The transcript is spliced from 3 exons. The record is from RefSeq and is a predicted model, not a curated record.
UGCCGUGAGGAAGAGGCAGGCGGAGGGGCGGGGCCCGGAUGAGGUUCCGCUCCUCCCCUCGCGCGGAGCCGUGAGGGGACGCGGCAGGGUGGGCGCGGAUCGGGAAACGGGAGGGAAAGGGGGAAAGAGGGACCGGGACGGGGGUGGCGGAGUCCGUAGUGGAGAGUACGGCAAAAAAUAAGUCGGAACGGAAAAGACGAUUCAAAUGGGAUGCGCAGAGAUGCUGUAAAAACGCGUCCGGCACGAGCACCCGUGACCCCCCUCACAGUGCGCGGGCGGGAGAAGAAGACAAGCGGUGCUGCAAAAACGCGCACGGAGGUUUUAGAGGAAUUGCUGAACUCUACGCAAUAGUCCGGCCUGCUGGAAUAAAAGGAGCAAUGGGAAGCUCUCAGAAAUGCGGGCAGAGUUGCUGCCGGCUUUCCAGCCCCUUGCCAGCACAUGGAGCUGCCUGUCGUGAUCUGGGUACACAGAAUCCAUCUACCAGAAUAGCCCGGCUCCUGGCGCGCAGGCUAAGCAGGAAGGAGCCCGGCACCUUUCCUGUCCACACCACCCUAUUCGCGCUGCUAGCUCUGCAUCCUUAUCUCAGAUGGCUCCUGCACAGCUGCUGCCUGAAACUGGCUGGUUUUAACACGAGCAAGUAGUUUUAAAAUAGGCGUAUUUUAAGCUGUGCUGUGAUCACACGUUGGUACAUCUUCAGGCCAGAAGUGCCGAAGCCUGUAAUCAGCCCUCCUGCGGGAUAGCACUUAGGCACACAAGUGGUCCCGUAGGUUUUUAUAGAGCUGUUUGGGUAAGAGUUAUUCAGCAUAUAGGAGAGAUGCAGAAUAUUUGUCCUGUGUGUUUAUUCCUUGGCAAAAGAUGUCAGCCAGUUUCCCUUUAAGAGGAUAAUAGCAGUUCAGAUCAAAACAAGGAUUAUGCUUUACUGGUUUUGGAGCAUUGAGGUAAAGCCACAUAUACAUUACACCUGAUUUUGUAUUAAAUCUGUAUCUUGUUGCCUCAGAUGCACAACUGUAAUGCGGCUCUUGAACAUUGCUGAAACACAGAUCACAUCUUACUGCCAUUUAGUCCAGGCACAAGGAAUAAGAGAAAAUACAAGACAGUGAAGAAAGCAGCACUGUGAUUGUAAUUUAAGAGAGUUUUAUAUCUGUUUGGAAAAAGUCUGAUUCCGUGAAUUACAAGGUGGAAGGGAAUUUGGUGCACAGAUUACGAAGGUAAAAAAGAAAUUGCUGCAACGUUUUCCACUUGCUGCUUGAACUGUUGAAAUUCUGCUGCGUAUGGGUGAGACAGUGCAGUUUUUACUGUAAACCCAUUGAAACUUAUGGCAGUUUUGCUGUUAACUGGAAGUAGGUUUGACGUUGCUUUCUGUUACGAAACAGCAUGAAACCAUAUAUGCAUAGGUCUGCAUUGUCCACACAGGAAAGAAAGUUCCCUUUGCCUGACCACAUGCACAUAGGGCACUUAGUGAAAAAGAUGCAAAGAGGUAUAGAUAAGGCACUGUUGUUCUCUUCUGCAGCCACAGCAAUCCAGCAGGACCUCAGAUCUUCAGAACACCUAUAUUUCUUUGUAUACGUGUCUAAAUGUAUCUUAAACUGGUUUGUACAUGCGCUGUGGAAUCAGUCACACGUCCAGAAAGGAAGAUGAAUGUGCUGGGUAUAUAAAUGCACCUUGGUGAAAGUGGUAGAUGCUUGUAUGAAAGCCCAGGAUUCAGGUGUGGAUUUACUGAGGCUCUGAAGGUCUGAAGCUUCUCCUGCUCUUCCCCACCACGCUAUGAGCACACACUGUUUGCCUCUGGAAACACACAGGAGUCCAAAGAAGCACAGCACUGCACAGGGCAAUGCUUCAGGAGGGUGUAUGGCCUGUGCUGAGCACCCCACUGGCCAUUGGUGACAAUGAGCAAUGACCAAACACUCCUCAGAGCUCUGACUGCUGGACUGAAGCUACCUCAGCCUCCACUGCACUCCCUGGGACCCAAACCCAGAACCUCUAGCCGCUCCUGGGGUAAAAAACAUCAGACUCAAUGUGAUUGCUCUCUCUGCUGUUCAAUGUGGGCAGAAGUAUUUUGAAGAUAGUUGGUUUAAGGUCAUCGAGCACAAUUUCACAUUGAUAUUGUUACUUUCCAGGGCCCUGUCCUUCUAGCCUUCCCUGCUUAGAAAGGCUGCUUUGGGAAGAGAGGAGCCACUGGAGCCAGCUGGACUAUGCAUGAAUUCUCUGCCUGAGCCACGUCCAAGGUGUUGGACUCCCUGCAGUUACAGCACAGAGACCUGAUACCAAGGACACAACUUCCUGCCUCACUGACAGUGCCUGCAUUGUGACACUGGCAACUCUUCAGCUCUUCUUCAUUGUUGCUGGUCUCUUGGUAUCUACAGGAGACUAGUCUAGAUGACCUACACACAGUGAGAGAGUUUUUUCUAAUGUGAAGACCUGACAGUCAACACAGAGAAAACAGACAGAGGUAGGAGAAAGUAGUUACAAAUAAAUCUUCCCUAUGAAAGGGGAAGUAGAAAACCAGAAAAAUCCCUGGAUCUCUUUACUAGAGGAAUGGGAUACCUGUAGUAACUUGUAGUAACUUGGAUACCUCAAGUCCAGUUCAGGGCUUUCACCACAAAAUGGUCCUUCUUCUGUUCUCUGGGACCAGUGUAACACAGGGAUGGACUUUCACUUUUGCCUCCCAUUUGGAUGUGCUAAGGAUGGUGAAAGGUAGACCUAUAUCAGACAACUGCCAUGACAGUAUUAGGAAAGGGCAUUUCACCACUCACUCACAUGGGAAAGUCUAAGUCAUGCCAGGUCACUCUGUCACCUCUCUGUUUUUGAAUUAAAUAAUGAAGGUUGUUGAAGUGUUAUAUAUGCUGUCAGUUAUGCCAGGGGGGUGAGAAGAUUAGUAAAAGUAUAUUCCCUUUGUAUAAAAAGAUAGGUGUAAUAUUCAGAAGUGCAAUGGUUAGACUUAAAGCUUUAACUUCUAAUAAACAUGUCUGGAGUUUGAAGGCGCCCCUGAUCUAUGGCUACAAGGUAUUGUAAUUAGCAUCCAAAGUCCUGUGAACUCAGGAAGUCCCUCAAGAGAGGUAACCCCUGAUUGCUGAGCAGUAGUACUGCUCAGUUCUGAAACAUUAUCAUAAACUACCCAAUAACUGUGAAUGAACAAAGGCUGACACAAACAGCUACAAAAGGUAGCUUUUGUUGAGACUCAAGGAGCCAAGACUGGUGCCAAAAGUGGCUGGAGCAGGACCUUGUUAUGACCUUGUGUGAAGCAGCACAGGUCUAGCACCCAAGGGGAAAGACUUGGUGCUGGGGUAGAUUGGCCCUACUCUGUGGGUCAGUGAUGGGGGAACAGGUUGUCUCUGGUGAGGAGAAAAAAACCCCAGGAGGUGGCAGGUUCUUGGUCCACCCCUGCUUAUUCCUCUAUGACUGGCCAAACAAUACUCUUAAAAUCUUCCUUGACAUCAAGCAGAAAAUCCUUAUCCUAGGACUCAUUCUUGUGUUUACAGCCUUGCCUUUGCUUUCCAAAUUCAGACGUGCUUUACA